This 218-nucleotide ribosomal RNA is filed under the name Enterococcus faecium. RNAcentral's name for it is "partial 16S ribosomal RNA". It matches the Rfam family "Bacterial small subunit ribosomal RNA", at positions 1 to 203 of the family's 1533-position model. RNAcentral also lists the same sequence under 4 other names. The record is from RNAcentral. Lineage: Bacteria; Bacillati; Bacillota; Bacilli; Lactobacillales; Enterococcaceae.
UUUUAUGAGAGUUUGAUCCUGGCUCAGGACGAACGCUGGCGGCGUGCCUAAUACAUGCAAGUCGUACGCUUCUUUUUCCACCGGAGCUUGCUCCACCGGAAAAAGAAGAGUGGCGAACGGGUGAGUAACACGUGGGUAACCUGCCCAUCAGAAGGGGAUAACACUUGGAAACAGGUGCUAAUACCGUAUAACAAUCGAAACCGCAUGGUUUUGAUUUG